AACGAACGCUGGCGGCGUGGAUAAGACAUGCAAGUCGAACGAGAGAAUUGCUAGCUUGCUAAUAAUUCUCUAGUGGCGCACGGGUGAGUAACACGUGAGUAACCUGCCCCCGAGAGCGGGAUAGCCCUGGGAAACUGGGAUUAAUACCGCAUAGUAUCGAAAGAUUAAAGCAGCAAUGCGCUUGGGGAUGGGCUCGCGGCCUAUUAGUUAGUUGGUGAGGUAACGGCUCACCAAGGCGAUGACGGGUAGCCGGUCUGAGAGGAUGUCCGGCCACACUGGAACUGAGACACGGUCCAGACACCUACGGGUGGCAGCAGUCGAGAAUCAUUCACAAUGGGGGAAACCCUGAUGGUGUGACGCCGCGUGGGGGAAUGAAGGUCUUCGGAUUGUAAACCCCUGUCAUGUGGGAGCAAAUUAAAAAGAUAGUACCACAAGAGGAAGAGACGGCUAACUCUGUGCCAGCAGCCGCGGUAAUACAGAGGUCUCAAGCGCUGUUCGGAAUCACUGGGCGUAAAGCGUGCGUAGGCUGUUUCGUAAGUCGUGUGUGAAAGGCGCGGGCUCAACCCGCGGACGGCACAUGAUACUGCGAGACUAGAGUAAUGGAGGGGGAACCGGAAUUCUCGGUGUAGCAGUGAAAUGCGUAGAUAUCGAGAGGAACACUCGUGGCGAAGGCGGGUUCCUGGACAUUAACUGACGCUGAGGCACGAAGGCCAGGGGAGCGAAAGGGAUUAGAUACCCCUGUAGUCCUGGCAGUAAACGGUGCACGCUUGGUGUGCGGGGAAUCGACCCCCUGCGUGCCGGAGCUAACGCGUUAAGCGUGCCGCCUGGGGAGUACGGUCGCAAGAUUAAAACUCAAAGAAAUUGACGGGGACCCGCACAAGCGGUGGAGUAUGUGGCUUAAUUCGAUGCAACGCGAAGAACCUUACCUGGGCUUGACAUGUAAUGAACAACAUGUGAAAGCAUGCGACUCUUCGGAGGCGUUACACAGGUGCUGCAUGGCCGUCGUCAGCUCGUGUCGUGAGAUGUUUGGUUAAGUCCAGCAACGAGCGCAACCCCUGUUGCCAGUUACCAGCACGUGAAGGUGGGGACUCUGGCGAGACUGCCCAGAUCAACUGGGAGGAAGGUGGGGACGACGUCAGGUCAGUAUGGCCCUUAUGCCCAGGGCUGCACACGUACUACAAUGCCCAGUACAGAGGGGGCCGAAGCCGCGAGGCGGAGGAAAUCCUGAAAACUGGGCCCAGUUCGGACUGGAGUCUGCAACCCGACCCCACGAAGCUGGAUUCGCUAGUAAUCGCGCAUCAGCCACGGCGCGGUGAAUACGUUCCCGGGC
This 1330-nucleotide ribosomal RNA is filed under the name uncultured bacterium. RNAcentral's name for it is "16S ribosomal RNA". It matches the Rfam family "Bacterial small subunit ribosomal RNA", at positions 28 to 1379 of the family's 1533-position model. The record is from RNAcentral.